This 3211-nucleotide long non-coding RNA is filed under the name Homo sapiens (human). Its description in RNAcentral is "PREDICTED lncRNA (TCONS_00127721)". The record is from RNAcentral. Lineage: Eukaryota; Metazoa; Chordata; Mammalia; Primates; Hominidae.
CCGAGUAGCUGGAACUACAGGCGCCCGCCAUGAUGCCCGGCUCAUUUUCUGUGUUUUCAGUAGAGACGGGGUUUCACUGUGUUAGCCAGGAAAGUCUUGAUCUCCUGACCUCGUGAUCCUGACCUCGGCCUCCCAAAGUGCUGGGAUUACAGGCGCGAGCCACCGCGCCCGACAGCAGUUAUGAAGUUCUAAAAGCAAGUCUUAAUCAGGAAGUGUCCUUGAUCACCAACGGCUCGCCCAGGCAUGCUGGCUCUCUUCCACUUCCACCUUCCACCAUGGGAUGACGCAGUAAGAAGGCCAUCAGUAGAUGCCAGUCCCUCAACCUUGAACUUUCCAGACGCAGAACUUUAUGCCUCCAUUUUCCUCUGCUGCAUGGCCCCAGGAGAGAUUUUAAUUAGCUUUCUAACCUUGGUCCAGAUUGCACAUGCAAAUGGUAGAGGAUGCAACACCCCCGCUUGUGGAGCUGCCGCUUGUGUCUGGCAUGGAUGCCCCUUCUAGAUGUUCAUGGCUCACUCCCUGCCAUGUUGUCAGGUAUUUGAGCUCUCUGUUCCCACUCAGAGUAGAUGAGCAGAAGAGGAAAUGAGGGCCUUCCCAGAGCAACUCCCCCAGAUGAACAGAGCCAGGCUGCCUGGAUUCAAUGUUAUCUUCAUUUCUUAGCUGUAUCAUCACGAGUUGUUUAAUUCCUCAGCACUUAAUUUUCUUGACCUGCAAAAAUAUGGAUCAUAAUGAUCAUUAACUAAUAAGUUUGCCAUGAGGAUUAACUGUAUAUUAAGGGCUGAUAAAAUUAUAUGUUACAAAAAAAUUCACAAGAAGAGAGGAAAUACUGAGGAGAAAAUGGCAGAUUGUGUUUGCUGAAUUUGAUUGACGAAGAAGUCACCAUGAAAAUCACAGUGAACCAUUUGGAAAGCAAACUGCCAAAAAAUAAUAGUUAGUCAUGCUCUCAGGCUGGUUGUUUUGGCUGUUGUGGGUUUCUUGCAUUUCCAGAUGAUUGCAAAGAGCUGUUUCUCAAUUUCUGCAACAAGUGCCAGCUGAAAUUUUGGUACCAGUUUCAUUAAAUAUGUAGAACAAUUUGAGCCUGAGUGAGUUCUGUGGAGCCCAUACUACCUGCGAUUCAAGCCAGCAACCUUGGAAUCUCCCUGAACAAUUUCUAUGGUGUCCAAUCACAUUUGCAAUCACUCCCCACACUCAGUAGGUUCUGCCCCCACAUCAUUUCUUUUCUCUAUCCUCUUUCCCAGCUUUAUAAUAUGACUUAGUUCAAGCCCUAAUCACUGGAUUAUUCAAAGUCCCUUAACAGGUUAAUUCCUACUGUGAUCAACACUUUAAAGGAAGGCAAUAGGGCCAGGCAUGGUGGCUCACGGCUGUAAUCCCAGCACUUUGGGAGGCUGAGGCGAGUGGAUCACAAGGUCGGGAGUUUGAGACCAGCCUGACUAACACAGUGAAACCCCGACUCUACUAAAAAUACAAAAAAUUAGCCAGGUGUGGUCGUGGGUACCUGUAGUCCCAGCUACUAGGGAGGCUGAGGCAGGAGAAUGGCGUGAACCCGAGAGGCGGAGCUUGCAGUGAGCCAAGAUUACGCCACUGCACUCCAGCCUGGGUGACGGAGCGAGACUCCAUCUCAAAAAAAAUAAAAAAUAAAUAAAACAGAAAGGCAAUGGCUAUCCCAAAUUGCUGAAGCCUUUGCUAAAAGCACAGACAGAAAACAACAAUAUGGUGAUGUUUGUGUUAAACAAAUGUUAUUGAUUCUAGGACACAGGUCAGAUGGCAAAUAGUCAAACUCAAAUGUUGAUCCCAGGGGUGGCUGUAUCAUCACUAAGGCCAAAUCACAACUUUGACUGGUCUCAUGGGAACACAGAUCUUGGGUUUGGAAAGAGCACAGGCCUGGCCAUGGGAAUGGACACAGGGUAAUUUUAAGAUGACUAGAGGUUCCUCAAACCCUAAAAGUACCACUGAACCUUGUUUAAAGCUAAAAUGGCUCCUAAAUGAUAGACACGUUUCUCAGUUAUCUCUGCAAACUGAAGAUCCUAUCAGCCUGUUCAGGGUCUCACAGGCCUCUGGGUUUGUACAUGAUGUCCCUACAGUGGCGAUGGGGACUGAUGAGAGCCACCGUUCCCAUUGGAGGAGGGCAAGCUGCCACUGAGUGUCAGCUGCUGGAGUAAACAUCCAAUCACAUGUGUACCUGUAUCCUAUGGAUAUUGGCUUCCCCUCAUACAACUUGUUGUUCCUUUGUUUUCCAUUCCUGACUAUAUUUGAAUCUUUCUUGGAUUUCCAGGAAACAUCUGACUGCUUUCCUAUGCCACUUCAUACCCAAGAGAAGCUCAGGGAGAUCCUUUAAGGUCCUUUAUGCCCAUUAUGAUAGUACAUGAAUAGGUAAAUGUACCACUGCUCCCUGUACUUCUUGGAUAAUGCACAAAUAGUAAGACAGUCUCGCAACCAGCAGCCUAGACAGCCCAAAUAUGUGAAACCAAAACAGCUUGAUCUUCCAGACCUGUUCUGACUCCUUGAGUCUUAAAUCUCCAAGCCUCUUGAAUGUUUCACCCACAGCCUUCCCUUUGGGAUCUGGCAUGGGACAGGAAGGGCAGAGAAGGGCCUGGGGCUUUUCCUCAGGGAUCCACCACAGUCUAGGCCAGUGGGUGGCAAACUUUUUCUGCAAAGGAUCAGCUGGGAGAUAGUUUCAACUUUGUAGUCUCGUCGCAGCUACUCUACUCGACUCUGCCACUGGAGUGUGAAUGCAGUCAUGAAUAAAAGAAUGAAAGUUUUCCAGUGAAACUUUAGUCACAAAAACAGUCUGCAGGCUGUGUCUGGCCCGUGGGCUUUGGUUUGCUGGCCUGCGGGCUCCUAGAAGGCUCUGACUUUAUCCCUCUAUGAGGGAAAGCAGGUUUUGGGGUAUUCUCCCAAAUCUUUAUACCUUAUGUCUGUGUCUCUUUUUAAAUUAAAAGUAAAAUUUAGGCCAGAUGCCAUGACUCACACCUGUAAUCCCAACAUUUUGGGAGGCUGAGGAGGGAGGACCACUUGGUUCCAGGAGUUCACAACCAGACUGGACAACAUAGCAAGACCUAGUCUCUACAAAAGAAAAAAAAAUGAAAAUUUAGCAGAGCAUGGUGGUGCUUCCCUGUAGUCCCAACUACUAGGGAGGCUGAGGUGGGAGGAUUGCUGAAGCCCAGGAAGUCGAGGCUGCAGUGAGUCAUUGUUACACCAGUGUACUCCAGACGGG